Molecule: small nuclear RNA, 104 nt
Filed under: Myotis davidii
Lineage: Eukaryota; Metazoa; Chordata; Mammalia; Chiroptera; Vespertilionidae
Source: RNAcentral
GUGCUUGCUUCAGCAGCAUGUAUACUAAAAUUGGAACAAUACAAAGAUUUGCAUGGACCCUAGGCAAAGAUGACAUGCAAAUUUGUGAAGCGUUCCAUAUUUUU